This 516-nucleotide ribosomal RNA is filed under the name Curvularia kusanoi. RNAcentral describes it as "eukaryotic LSU rRNA". The stretch from base 152 to 305 matches the Rfam family "5.8S ribosomal RNA". Lineage: Eukaryota; Fungi; Ascomycota; Dothideomycetes; Pleosporales; Pleosporaceae. The record is from RNAcentral.
AGGAUCAUUACCCAGAGUUGUAGGCUUUGCCUGCUAUCUCUUACCCAUGUCUUUUGAGUACCUUACGUUUCCUCGGUGGGUUCGCCCACCGAUUGGACAAAUUUAAACCCUUUGCAGUUGAAAUCAGCGUCUGAAAAAACUUAAUAGUUACAACUUUCAACAACGGAUCUCUUGGUUCUGGCAUCGAUGAAGAACGCAGCGAAAUGCGAUAAGUAGUGUGAAUUGCAGAAUUCAGUGAAUCAUCGAAUCUUUGAACGCACAUUGCGCCCCUUGGUAUUCCAUGGGGCAUGCCUGUUCGAGCGUCAUUUGUACCUUCAAGCUCUGCUUGGUGUUGGGUGUUUGUCUCCUGUAGACUCGCCUUAAAACAAUUGGCAGCCGGCGUAUUGAUUUCGGAGCGCAGUACAUCUCGCGCUUUGCACUCAUAACGACGACAUCCAAAAGUACAUUUUUACACUCUUGACCUCGGAUCAGGUAGGGAUACCCGCUGAACUUAAGCAUAUCAUUAAAGCGGAGGAA